GUGGAUUAGAUACCCGGGUAGUCCACGCCGUAAACGGUGGGUGCUAGUUGUGGGCCACAUUCCACGUGGUCCGUGACGAAGUUAACACAUUAAGCACCCCGCCUGGGGAGUACGGUCGCAAGACUAAAACUCAAAGGAAUUGACGGGGGCCCGCACAAGCGGCGGAGCAUGCGGAUUAAUUCGAUGCAACGCGAAGAACCUUACCAAGGCUUGACAUAUAGAGGAAACGUGCAGAAAUGUACGCCCCGCAAGGUCUCUAUACAGGUGGUGCACGGUUGUCGACAGCU
Molecule: ribosomal RNA, 287 nt
Filed under: uncultured bacterium
Lineage: Bacteria
Description: partial 16S ribosomal RNA
Rfam family: Bacterial small subunit ribosomal RNA
Source: RNAcentral